UCUCUCUCUCUCUCUCUUUCUGUACAUUAUUUUUGCAUUUUUAGUCGUAAGCAAGACUGUUUACACCAGUUAAACAUAAUAAUUAGAACUAAGUAUUUCAUAAUAGUAUCCAUUUUACCCCCUUAUAAUUAUGACAUAGUUUCUCAUAAUAAUGAUGUGAGGCAUUUGUCUAUAGGACAAAAGGUGAACUUUGAUGGUUUUCAAGCACAUUUAAGAAUAUGGAUUAUCCUUGCAUUUUCCUGCCUAAUUAUGGUUUGACCCAUGCUAUGGACUACCAUAAUGAUUCUUGGAAUGACCACAAUAAAACACAUACUGAGUUUAUGCAUUUGCACCCUGCCUUUGAGAUCUGUAUGAUACAGCUUAGGAGAAGAAAAAAACAAAACCUGCCACUGAUGUAGCUGCCUACAUUCAAAAACAGUUACAAACUCUCUGGCCAGUCACACAGCUAUGGAUGGAUGCAUCAGAAAUAUUUGCUUAAAGGAAUGUAUACUGACAGAGAAACAGUUUGCGUGAUUUUAUGAUUACUAGAUGGUGAGGGUGUCAAUUUCAGGGCCAGGAAGCGACUGUGUCAGCGAUUAUGCAACAGCCAGGGUCAUUUGGCACGUCAAUAUUUAUGGUAAAUUAAAACAAUAUGACAUUGAAAUAAGUUGAUGCAUAGACAGCUUCUCCAUGAUGAUAACAAUUGAUGCUUAAAUAACCAGCAAUGGCCCACAUGUAAUUGUGGGGUGUUAUAUGACUGCUGUUACAGAUACUGAAGGAUGUCCUAAAUGAGAAGUUUGGCACCAACCGCUCAGAACAGAGAACACACGUCACGGAUAUACAAAGAAUUCUUUAUGAUGAAACUCCACCAGGAACACAGCAUAUCACCUUUGGCCCUAGUCCUGGCAAUCAGUGAAUUGAAAGAUAGUGGCUUACACACUAUGAAGCCAUUAUCUUCAAUUCUGAACCUCUCUGAGAGCCUGGAAGAUGAUGGGUAUUUUCCCAUUAUGCAUCUGGACAAAUCUGUGGUCCAGUGUUUCUUUCAAAUCAUGAUUCAGGUUAGGAUUUUUUUUACAAGCUUCCCCAACUGAUGUCCAUUAAUUAUGCAUGCAGCACCUUAGUUGUAUGGAGUAGACGUGUAUAUUGGGACUGAGAUCCCAGAAGAAGAAAAAUUGCAGAAUGGGACAGAUUUUAGUCAGAUAUGACUAAAAUAUUUAAUUAUAGAUUGUCCACGUGAUGAAGAUGUCUUCAACUCAUGACACAGCAUAAUCUAUUUAGGUCGGACCAUAUCUAUUGCAAAAGUGGAUUUAUACAAUAGAAUCAGACAGCUGUUUAUAGACCUAGACCGAGUUACAAUCAAGACUACAUAUCUUCCUCACUUACUUUGAUCAUUUCACAGACUUCUGCACAAUGGAGCAUGUUCUCUCUUUCAUGAGUCUAAUACGAAUGCAUUAUUUAUGAAAAUGCACUUAAUUUAAUUGUGCAGAAAUAGGUGGCAUGAUCAUAUUAAUUAAGUAUUAAGAUUAAAUUUUUAAGGUAGCCAAAAAACAUGCACAAUUGGCCAACUCCAUGGCUGUUUGCCUUCUGACUGCAGCUCAUUCAACAGACUAUUCAACCAGUGUUCCCCAUUCUAGACCAUCGUUUCACCAGCUAUUUACAGGCCCUCUGUGCCCACUAUCCAUCAGAGCAUAUCUCCUACCCCAGAAUGAAUAACUGUUUUUCACUAUAUGUGCUUAUAUUUUUCAUUAUAAAGGUUUUCUCAUUAUAUUGUGAACCACAGCUAGAAGGCUAGAAGGAUCUCUUUCUGGAUCUGGAUCUAAACACAGGUUAGCCCAUUGGGUAAAGGAAAUGAUUACGUAAACAGACUUGAACACUGGUCUUCUUUGGUUACCUCCUGGGCGGCAGUAAGACUGUCACUUGCAGACAAUUGUGAAGUAGCGAUAUGGAGCUCCCCAUCUUCCUUUGCUAGACUCCACAGACUGAAUGCAUCAGUCUGCCUCAGAAUGCUGAGUUUGAGUGAUUCUCAUCCUCAAUAAAGGGUUGGCAAGGUGCACUGUUGGGACGUGUUACAAAACCUAUGAUGUCCUCUGCUUGAUCCAAAGGAGACCUCACUGACAGUUGGGUACAAAAGGAAGUAGAACAGAAGGCAAUCUAUGUAAAAUCAGAUGUAUCCAUCUCGAUACUCAGGUUGUUAAGACUGGCCAGAAGAUGACUAUGAUGUAGGAGGGACCCUUUAUAGGCUACCCACGUGGGGUCACAAUCCCAGUCACUUACUGAUACUCAGCAAGAAGUCUCAGCUGACUUACAGCCCUCCACUUAGCUAUAGAACCACUGUUACAUAUGCUUCUUAGCAUUUGCUUUCUGUAUCACUGAUCUGUGGCUUUCUUUUGCAUUAGCUAGUAAGGUAGCCAGCGAAAACAUAUACUUCUACUCUCUACCUUGAAGAUGCAUCAUGGGGUUUUCAAACCAGUAUUCAAACUGAAAAUCUCACCCUAGAUCAGGGAUGGCCUACAGAGACUUGUGUUUACCCUCUUCAAACCUAUCAAAUUCAGCCCAUGAAGGCCUUAGCAAUUAGCUAAUGAGCGGAAUCAGGUGUGUGAAAUAAGGUAGAAAAAUAAACUCUGCUGUGCUUAGUUUCUCCAGGACUGGAGUUUGCUUUAGAGGUUACUGCAUCAAAGCUGUAAGAGGUAUUACAUUGGCAAAGAAGACCACACCUCAUGCAAAAUGUAAUUUCAUGAAUACAUGUAGUUCUAACCUCAUCAUUAUUGAUGGGCAUGAAAGCAAGUAACCUUUCUGGCUUCAAAGAGGAACAUCAGUGGAUCAGAUGUGGUUAAUUGCUCUCACAUACUCAAUAUUCACUAUAUUCAGCAAACUUAAAAAAAAAAAAACAACUAGGAACACAUGUUGCGAUGAGAAUUAGACCUAGACCUCCAACUAAGAUGAGACCUUGCUUGCUCAGUAAGGGUGUAGCACUAGGCCAAAGAAAUAAUUACAGGCAGCUAAUUAUUCACACUAUAAACAAGGCUGAUCUUGUUCAGACUCAACUGGAGGACUAGAAUAUGGCCAGAAAAUGACUCAUAGUCAUGUGACCUGCAUCAAACAUACAGUUUUGUAUAUUAUGAACAAAACAAAUUCUGUAUAUCAUGUAAAUAAAUGGUAAAUUCUAAUUUGCUUAUUCAGUUGAGGACCCAAUAAACAAGAAACAUUUGUCACUAAUUUUAAGGAGUUAAACAUUUAUUUCAACAAUAUUAAACAGACACUCGUUUUAGCCAGUCAUUGUCGGUGUCACUGCUGUGCUAAGAAUGAUCUACCACCCAAAUAACAUCCUCUUAGUGGUAGUCCUAUGGUGUUCCCUGUCUGUUGAUGGAAAAAAGAGAGUGGGGCUUUUGCAAAUUGCAGAUGGCAUCUAUUGGGCUGCAGUCAAUAACUGUACACCUACAAAGUGACCUAUGUAGAUGGUAGUAAUCUCAUAAAAUGCGCAAUUAUGGUAGGGAUGAGCUUGUAGAGUACCUCAAAAAUAUGGGUCUUCUCUCCACAAAGUAAGAUUGACUAACCUCGUUUGGCUGAUGCUUUUAUCCAAAGUGUAAUACGAAUACAUUGAGAAAGCAUACAGCUGAGCAGUGGAGGGCCUUGCCCAACAGUGGGAACUUGGUGCUGGGCUUUGAACUCACAACCCACUGAGCCUUAACCACUGAGCCAUCGUGCAGAACUUUCCCUCUCAAGUAGAUAUUAUACUGCCAUUUAACAAGGACAAACAGUAUCACUGUUGCCCCCUCCUAAAUGGUGCACUUGCAGCCUUGUGGCCCUUGCUUGGGCAUGGUUGUGAGGUAUGCAAGGCCAUAGGGUGUCCGAUUUCUUUUUUUUUAUGCUUCAAAAGUGUUUCCACAAGUGGCCUUAAUGUGCUCCUUGGCAAACCUACAUCAAAGUAAACUCAGCAGUAGUGUCUUACCCAAAACACCUUGCAAUUGUUAGCGAGGCCAAAUCACAGCAAAUGGGUUUGUUGAGAGCAGAGAAUAACAAGAUGGAUGCAGCAACAUUAACACCAACGACAGGGUCCUAAAGUAUCUUUCGCUCAGGCAUAACAACAGAAAUGAUGAUGGCAAAAGGGGAAAAAAAUAGAAAAGACGCAGUUUCCAGUUGAACCAGAGUUGAAAUCCACACCCAUUUUAAACACAUAAGGCAAUCAUGGAAUGAUUGAUGCUUUUGUAGUGUUUUUGGAAUUUAUUUGAUAUGGUUCAAAUCAGCUAGCUGUAUUCACUAAGCCUGUUAAAAUAAACAUGGCUAUUACACAUGUAUUUCUCCAUAAAACCAACUUUCUUAACAGCUCUUUCUAUCAUAUGGUUUUCUACACCAUAUAUACCAUAUGCGUACAUUCUAUGUAGUGAGUGUGCGUAUGGCUAAUGAGAAACCGUUUAGGAUUCACCCUGUUGUUUACCUCAGUAGCUAGCUCCCCUGAAGUUUAGCUAAUCUGGUGUUUAUUUCCAUUUCAGUUCACAAGUAAUCAUCUCACUCAGGGUCUAAGCUGACUCAAUAAGGAGCUUAUGUGUAGCCUGCUCUGUUUUCACAAAUUCAUGUAGGUAAUCCAGAAUACACCAUACCUUCUCUGCGUUUUUUUCAACCUAUAGAGUUGUCACUUUAUAAAGUCAAUUAUGAAGCUUAGCUGCUGCUUUUGGAAUGGAGAGAAAGCUAAAGCAUGCGUUUGUUAGGAGUAUUUUAGUAACGCUGCUCAAAAACAUUAGUCAGCACUCUCACCCAGAGAGGUGGCCUAUAUCUGAGCAUGCUUCAGUGAAAUGGUACAUGUCCACUUGCAACUCUCAAUGGAGAGCUCUACCAGAUUCACACAGCACAUGAUAGGUGUAGUGCUACAAAACCUGGAUCAGAGAACCUGGUUCAGCAAAACCAGUCUAUAUCCAGAAAAUCCUCUUCUAAACUGGUCUAAAAUGACUAAUAUUAGUGUUUCUGUAUUGCAGCUCUUGCAGCAUAUGGAACAGUUAUUUUCAUGUAGCUGAGUAUUGGGGAGUUGUGUAAACUUUGGUCUCCAGUAGUACUGCAUUAUUUAUCAGGGAUGAAUGUCGAUGCGGAGGCCAGGUAAUUUAAGCCAACCAUACACACAAGAAAUCCAGGAAAAGAUAACCAUGUUAUUCACAUGGAUAAUUGGGUGUGAAUGUGUGUGUGCUCACACAUGCCCUGUGAUGGACUGAUUUCCCAUUCAGGGUGUAUUCCCACUUCAUGCCUCAUGGGACAGGCUCUGGAUUCACCACAUCCCUGACCAGGAUUAAGCGGUUACUGAAGAUUAAUGAUUUAAUAAAUUAAUAUACUUAUACACACUGCUGUAGUUCAGUCACUGAGGAUGAUGCAAGUGCUUAAUACUUAUAGAUGCCUCUAUGGACAGUCAGUAAAUCUUGCAGGGACAUGAAAGGCUCCUGCAGCCUGUGCAUGUGUGGAUGCACUUUGGCUUUAUUAAGAAGCCUCAUGUCUCAUGAAUUACAUAUGAGUGACAAGGUUUGUGAACAGCACCAGGCCAGAAUAAAAUAUUAUGGAAACACAACAAAUCGAUCUUGAGGUAUUCAUACAGGCCACAAAAGGCAUCGAUCCAUGUCAGCAAAGACUCAAUGCAGUGCACAGUGACAAAUUAAACCCUGGUUCUGAAUGUAAAAUAAUAAUAAUAAUAAUAAUAAUAAUAAUAAUAAUAAUAAUAAUAAUAAUAAAUGCAGUGGUUCGCAUCAUUUGUAAAGACUGAACCAUGUUAAACAAGUUCUUCUGUCAUUCCCACCAUAUCUGUAGAGGACAUCUGACAACCAGUAAUAAACUGUGGACAGCACAUAGUAUAUGUUUCAUACUCGGGUAUAAGAAAGACAGCGAGUAUAUUGCUUCAUUAACUUUAAUAAAGAUGUUACGUUAGCAAUCCUAAAAUGUAUACAAAAGUGUGGCUUCAAAUUUCAAGUUCUCAAAAUAUCUCUGCAUGUACCCUAUAUGGCCAAAAGUAUGUGGACACCUGAACAUCACAGCUAGAUGUGCUUGUUGAACAUCCCUUUCCAAAA
This is a long non-coding RNA of Pangasianodon hypophthalmus (striped catfish), 6020 nucleotides long. RefSeq lists it as uncharacterized. NCBI's taxonomy places the organism in Eukaryota, Metazoa, Chordata, Actinopteri, Siluriformes, Pangasiidae. The transcript has 4 exons. The record is from RefSeq and is a predicted model, not a curated record.